This 737-nucleotide ribosomal RNA is filed under the name Clostridium sp. LKS-AN-4. Its description in RNAcentral is "bacterial SSU rRNA". It matches the Rfam family "Bacterial small subunit ribosomal RNA", at positions 46 to 784 of the family's 1533-position model. Lineage: Bacteria; Bacillati; Bacillota; Clostridia; Eubacteriales; Clostridiaceae. The record is from RNAcentral.
GCUUACACAUGCAAGUCGAGCGAAGCGAUUUUAAGGAAGCCUUCGGGUGGAAUUAAAAUUGACUUAGCGGCGGACGGGUGAGUAACGCGUGGGUAACCUGCCUCAUACAGGGGGAUAACAGUUAGAAAUGACUGCUAAUACCGCAUAAGCGCACAGUGCUGCAUAGCACAGUGUGAAAAACUCCGGUGGUAUGAGAUGGACCCGCGUCUGAUUAGGUAGUUGGUGAGGUAACGGCCCACCAAGCCGACGAUCAGUAGCCGACCUGAGAGGGUGACCGGCCACAUUGGGACUGAGACACGGCCCAAACUCCUACGGGAGGCAGCAGUGGGGAAUAUUGGACAAUGGGGGAAACCCUGAUCCAGCGACGCCGCGUGACUGAAGAAGUAUUUCGGUAUGUAAAGGUCUAUCAGCAGGGAAGAAAAUGACGGUACCUGACUAAGAAGCCCCGGCUAACUACGUGCCAGCAGCCGCGGUAAUACGUAGGGGGCAAGCGUUAUCCGGAUUUACUGGGUGUAAAGGGAGCGUAGACGGCUCUGCAAGUCUGGAGUGAAAGCCCGGGGCUCAACCCCGGGACUGCUUUGGAAACUGUGGAGCUAGAGUGCAGGAGAGGUAAGUGGAAUUCCUAGUGUAGCGGUGAAAUGCGUAGAUAUUAGGAGGAACNNNNGUGGCGAAGGCGGCUUACUGGACUGUAACUGACGUUGAGGCUCGAAAGCGUGGGGAGCAAACAGGAUUAGAUA